Molecule: ribosomal RNA, 465 nt
Filed under: uncultured bacterium
Lineage: Bacteria
Description: partial 16S ribosomal RNA
Rfam family: Bacterial small subunit ribosomal RNA
Source: RNAcentral
GACGAACGCUGGCGGCGUGCUUAACACAUGCAAGUCGAACGGUAAUUGGCCUUUCGGUGUACUCGACAGGCGAAGGGGGGGGUAAUAAGUCGGUAACCUGCUCUCGUCUACGGGAGAACUUCAGGCGGCUGGGGGUAAUACUAGAUCGUAAUCUUUGUUGCAUGGAUGUUUUUGGAAUUCUACGGCGGUUGUGGUUGGAGUUGCGCGUUAGUAGCUUGUUGGUGGAGUUGUGGUUUACCAACGCCUUGACGGGUAUCCGUCCGGAGAGGGCGACCGGACACAUUGGGACUGAGAUACGGCCCAGACGCCUAAGGGAGGCAGGAGUGGGGAAUAUUGCACAAUGGGAGGAAGCCUGAGGCAGGAACGCCGCGUGCGGGAUGACGGACUUCGGGUUGUAAACCGCAUUCAGCAGGGGCGAAGCUUGUGGUGACGGUACCUGCAGAAGAAGCACCGGCUAACUACGUG